GGGAGAUGUUGUCUAUAGGAGCCUAGUGGGAGAGCAUAUUGCCCAAACAGCACAGUUAACAAUGGGUGGGUUAAACAGCUCAAAGCUAUAAUCAGUAAUUGCAAAAAAGGAAGAAAACUUUAGUUCCUAGCUACUUAACCAUCAAAGGCUAACUCUCUGCCAGUUUCACCUUCAGGUUGAAAUCUCCCUCAGUAGGGAAUGUCAGUUAACUGGUAGGGAGUACGAUAUCUGGCCUGUGUACAGCAGCUGUUCACGCUUAAAGAACUUGAUGGACAAUAACUCUGCUAAAAACCAUGUUCACUUGCUUCCAUUUGUUUAGAUGGGCUAAGUAAAACAAAGAGCUUCCCAAAGGAAUAGAGGGAGACGUCUGAUUCAGCACUUGGUGGGCACACUGGGCUUGAAAUGAGAGAAGGGAGAAGCGAAACCUCUCAAGCAGUGGCCUUUUCCCUUGAGUAAGGCGGUCACAAGCCAAGCCUCCUCCCUAUGGGGGACCUCGGUGACACACAAGCCGGUGUACCUUCCC
This 523-nucleotide long non-coding RNA is filed under the name Equus asinus (donkey). RNAcentral describes it as "lncRNA (ENSEASG00005026027.1)". Lineage: Eukaryota; Metazoa; Chordata; Mammalia; Perissodactyla; Equidae. The record is from RNAcentral.